UACAGAGGGCCCGAGCGUUGUUCGGAUUCAUUGGGCGUAAAGGGUGCGUAGGCGGUCUUCUAAGUUUGAUGUGAAAUCCCGGGGCUCAACCCUGGAAUUGCAUUGAAUACUGGAGGACUAGAGUACUGGAGAGGAAACUGGAAUUUACGGUGUAGCAGUGAAAUGCGUAGAGAUCGUAAGGAAGACCAGUGGCGAAGGCGAGUUUCUGGACAGUGACUGACGCUGAGGCACGAGGGCCAGGGGAGCAAACGGG
This 253-nucleotide ribosomal RNA is filed under the name uncultured bacterium. RNAcentral describes it as "partial 16S ribosomal RNA". It matches the Rfam family "Bacterial small subunit ribosomal RNA", at positions 524 to 776 of the family's 1533-position model. The record is from RNAcentral.